Brachypodium distachyon (stiff brome) is the source of this 807-nucleotide long non-coding RNA. RefSeq lists it as uncharacterized. NCBI's taxonomy places the organism in Eukaryota, Viridiplantae, Streptophyta, Magnoliopsida, Poales, Poaceae. The transcript is spliced from 2 exons. The record is from RefSeq and is a predicted model, not a curated record.
UAUCCAUGAAUUGCAUUUACAUGUUGGGUUGACUGAGCUAUCCCAGUUGGCUUCAAGCUUUACACAUAGCGGAUGCUCUACUAAAACUACCCACGAGCGCAGUGCAAUGUUUCAUUAUGUUUGACGAAGCAGAGGGAGAAGAGGGAUCGGCGCGCCGUCUGACGCCGCCCUCCGCCGUCUACAGGCUAUAGGCAAGCAGCAGAGCAGCACCAGGUCCUUGCCUGCCGCUCCUUGGCGACGACCUGCUAGGCGACCUGUUACGAAUCCGAGGGCACGGUGGCAACGGCGGCCGACAGCGGCGCUGCGCCCUCUUCUUCGGCUGAACAGAGCAGGGCGCGGCCGCAGCACGUGGAAUGUCCUGAUUACGUGGUAAUUCUGUUCUUCAUGUUCCAUUUGUUUUGCAACAAGAGAAAUACCUAAACAUGGAGAUUGCAAUGUCAGAGAACUAUGGCAUCAUCACACAGAGCAUGUGUUAGAGGAGACUGAUCCAAACCCUUUGGCCCAGGAUACGGCCACGUACCACUUGUUCCCGCCGUAUACAUCACCUUUUAUUUUAUUUUAUUUCCUUUCUCGCUGUCCCUUGGCUUGUGUAGUUGUGUGUUCCUGCCAACGCUGCAAUAAAAUCUUAGCAGUUUUUCUGCCAACUUAAAAAUAACUUUUGUAACCUAUUUUUCGAGGAAGCUUUCCAGUAGAGAAUAAGGGUUUUCGGCCGAGAGAGAGAGAAUAAGGGUUUUGGAUCAGGCCAGCCUGUUUUUUGCUCGAUCGAUUCAUCUUUCUGUAAUAUAAUAAAAGUAUAUGUUGGAUAAA